Molecule: ribosomal RNA, 934 nt
Filed under: uncultured Intrasporangiaceae bacterium
Lineage: Bacteria; Bacillati; Actinomycetota; Actinomycetes; Micrococcales; Intrasporangiaceae
Description: bacterial SSU rRNA
Rfam family: Bacterial small subunit ribosomal RNA
Source: RNAcentral
UGCAAGUCGAACGGAUCAGGGGAGCUUGCUUUUCUGGUUAGUGGCGAACGGGUGGGUAACACGUGAGUAACCUGCCCUUCACUCUGGGAUAACUCCGGGAAACCGGGGCUAAUACUGGAUACGACUCGAACAGGCAUCUGUAUCGGGUGGAAAGAUUUAUUGGUGGAGGAUGGACUCGCGGCCUAUCAGCUUGUUGGUGAGGUAAUGGCUCACCAAGGCGACGACGGGUAGCCGGCCUGAGAGGGCGAUCGGCCACACUGGGACUGAGACACGGCCCAGACUCCUACGGGAGGCAGCAGUGGGGAAUAUUGCACAAUGGGCGAAAGCCUGAUGCAGCGACGCCGCGUGAGGGAUGAAGGCCUUCGGGUUGUAAACCUCUUUCAGCAGGGAAGAAGCGAAAGUGACGGUACCUGCAGAAGAAGCACCGGCUAACUACGUGCCAGCAGCCGCGGUAAUACGUAGGGUGCAAGCGUUGUCCGGAAUUAUUGGGCGUAAAGAGCUUGUAGGCGGUUUGUCGCGUCUGCUGUGAAAUUUCGGGGCUCAACCCCGAACUUGCAGUGGGUACGGGCAGACUAGAGUGUGGUAGGGGAGACUGGAAUUCCUGGUGUAGCGGUGAAAUGCGCAGAUAUCAGGAGGAACACCGAUGGCGAAGGCAGGUCUCUGGGCCACUACUGACGCUGAGAAGCGAAAGCAUGGGGAGCGAACAGGAUUAGAUACCCUGGUAGUCCAUGCCGUAAACGUUGGGAACUAGGUGUGGGUCUCAUUCCACGAGAUCCGUGCCGCAGCUAACGCAUUAAGUUCCCCGCCUGGGGAGUACGGCCGCAAGGCUAAAGCUCAAAGGAAUUGACGGGGGCCCGCACAAGCGGCGGAGCAUGCGGAUUAAUUCGAUGCAACGCGAAGAACCUUACCAAGGCUUGACAUGUGCCGGAAAAGU